UGGGGAAUAUUGCACAAUGGGCGCAAGCCUGAUGCAGCCAUGCCGCGUGUAUGAAGAAGGCCUUCGGGUUGUAAAGUACUUUCAGCGAGGAGGAAGGCGAUGCGGUUAAUAACCGUGUCGAUUGACGUUACUCGCAGAAGAAGCACCGGCUAACUCCGUGCCAGCAGCCGCGGUAAUACGGAGGGGGCAAGCGUUAAUCGGAAUUACUGGGCGUAAAGCGCACGCAGGCGGUCUGUCAAGUCGGAUGUGAAAUCCCCGGGCUCAACCUGGGAACUGCAUUCGAAACUGGCAGGCUUGAGUCUUGUAGAGGGGGGUAGAAUUCCAGGUGUAGCGGUGAAAUGCGUAGAGAUCUGGAGGAAUACCGGUGGCGAAGGCGGCCCCCUGGACAAAGACUGACGCUCAGGUGCGAAAGCGUGGGGAGCAAACA
RNAcentral lists this ribosomal RNA (427 nucleotides) under uncultured bacterium. RNAcentral describes it as "partial 16S ribosomal RNA". It matches the Rfam family "Bacterial small subunit ribosomal RNA", at positions 355 to 774 of the family's 1533-position model. The record is from RNAcentral.